GGUGAAUUCACCUUAUUUUCAGUUGGUAGAGUAUGGAAAAAUGUAUCACUUAUUUGAAAUACCUGAAUGGAAACCCAGCCUCUACUACUGUAACUUAACACUUGUUCUUCCUGAGCCUCAAAUUUUCUUUCUCUGUAAGAAUGGGAAUUAAUGCCCACCUACGGGUUGCAAGUGCUUACAGGAGCUGGGCAAGCAACGAAGGUAAGAGUUGUAGAGACUUCGGUAAACUGGAGCACAUGAUUCCUGGGAAGCAGGCCUAGUGUAAACAAUUUAUUUUUCUAGAAAAGACAGAAGUUUAGAGUAUAUGAAAUCUAAUUUUUAAGUAUUGGUUGGCAACUAAUUGACUAUCGUCUACCAUAAGGUUAUAUGAUAAUUAUUAGGGCAGGAGAGUGAAUGCAUCUUAAUAUGCAUGGCAGAACUGUGUGUUUCCUUCCAUCUGGAUUUUCAUAAAGCUUUCUGAUUUAUCAGUAACGAUCUGAAAAAUGUACUGUGGCAUGUAACAUCUUUUAUUCAUUUUAUUAGGCAUUAGAGGAAGAAUAUUCUGUAGUCCUGCUUUAUUCUGCCAUCUUUACCUGGAAAUCCAUUUUUAUAAAAUUUUUGUAAUAAAAAUUCACUUGA
Molecule: long non-coding RNA, 618 nt
Filed under: Homo sapiens (human)
Lineage: Eukaryota; Metazoa; Chordata; Mammalia; Primates; Hominidae
Description: non-protein coding lnc-SCPEP1-6:1
Source: RNAcentral